GGAGCCGUAGCUUAAUGGCAGAGUGCUCGCCUAGCAUGCGUGAGGCACUGGGUUCAGUCCUCAGCACCA
RNAcentral lists this transfer RNA (69 nucleotides) under Marmota monax (woodchuck). RNAcentral's name for it is "tRNA.Ala". The record is from RNAcentral. Lineage: Eukaryota; Metazoa; Chordata; Mammalia; Rodentia; Sciuridae.